RNAcentral lists this ribosomal RNA (501 nucleotides) under uncultured bacterium. RNAcentral describes it as "partial 16S ribosomal RNA". It matches the Rfam family "Bacterial small subunit ribosomal RNA", at positions 899 to 1397 of the family's 1533-position model. The record is from RNAcentral.
ACUCAAAUGAAUUGACGGGGACCCGCACAAGCGGUGGAGCAUGUGGUUUAAUUCGAGGCUACGCGAAGAACCUUACCCAGGCUUGACAUGUAGUUGACUGUGAAUGAAAGUUCAUUUUCCCGCAAGGGACAAUUACACAGGUGCUGCAUGGCUGUCGUCAGCUCGUGCUGUGAAGUGUUGGGUUAAGUCCCGCAACGAGCGCAACCUUUAUCUUUAGUUGCCAUCAGGUAAUGCUGGGCACUCUAGAGAGACUGCCGGUGAUUAACUGGAGGAAGGAGGAGAUGACGUCAAGUCAGUAUGGCCCUUAUGCCUGGGGCUACACACGUGCUACAAUGGCCGUUACAAUGGGCUGCUAACCCGCGAGGGGGAGCUAAUCCACAAAAAACGGCCCCAGUUCGGAUUGGAGGCUGCAACUCGCCUCCAUGAAGUCGGAAUCGCUAGUAAUGGUAGAUCAGCUACGCUACCGUGAAUACGUUCCCGGGUCUUGCACACACCGCCCGU